This is a long non-coding RNA of Dreissena polymorpha, 643 nucleotides long. RefSeq lists it as uncharacterized. The record is from RefSeq and is a predicted model, not a curated record. NCBI's taxonomy places the organism in Eukaryota, Metazoa, Mollusca, Bivalvia, Myida, Dreissenidae. The transcript has 3 exons.
CUAACGCCCGACCUGCUCGAGAUGGUAAAACGCGGGAAAGAAAAAAACACGGAAUUCAAAGAUCGAUGUUAACAUUGUUCCUGUGACAUUCACGGACGCGUUGAGAGGGUCCACAUGAUCAUCGCCGUCCAACUAGGUGUCCAUGACCUCCUCCUCUCGUUCUGCGGAGACAUCCUCUUGUAAAGCGACCCGUUCUUCACAAGAUAUACAUACAAAUGGGAUGUCAAUACCUUCUUCUACAGCUUCCUUGUAGUGGGCACGUGAAAUAACUGUAGAAAGAAAAUAAAAUAAGUAUUGGAACUGCUGUCUGUCACCUAAGAAUAAAUGCAAUAAAAUACAUUAAUUAUACAGCUGAUUUCUGAAAAAAAAAUCAUUGAAACACAUGUCUCCACCUAAGAGGAAAAUACAUUACCCGGAAAUGCAGCUGACAAGUUGGAUUGAUUGAACAUGAUCCUGUCUCACCAAGACCAGUAGCUGUGAGCUGAGCCUGAUCAUCUUGUACACGUUCUCAUGUAGAAAGAAAGCUACCACGAGAUUGCUGAUUUGGACAUAUGUUUGUUUUUACAUACAACUGACUAUUAAAUACAAUUGACUUCUAGGUGUUAAGUUCUGUCAAUGAUGGCAUCUAAAUUUUUCUCACUGA